ACUCAAUAGAUACCCGGGUAGUCCAUGCCGUAAACGUUGGGCACUAGGUGUGGGGGACAUUCCACGUUUUCCGCGCCGUAGCUAAACGCAUUAAGUGCCCCGCCUGGGGAGUACGGCCGCAAGGCUAAAACUCAAAGGAAUUGACGGGGGCCCGCACAAGCGGCGGAGCAUGCGGAUUAAUUCGAUGCAACGCGAAGAACCUUACCAAGGCUUGACAUGAACCGGAAAGACCUGGAAACAGGUCCCCCACUUGUGGUCGGUUUACAGGUGGUGCAUGGUUGUCGUCAGCUCGUGUCGUGAGAUGUUGGGUUAAGUCCCGCAACGAGCGCAACCCUCGUUCUAUGUUGCCAGCACGUGAUGGUGGGGACUCAUAGGAGACUGCCGGGGUCAACUCGGAGGAAGGUGGGGACGACGUCAAAUCAUCAUGCCCCUUAUGUCUUGGGCUUCACGCAUGCUACAAUGGCCGGUACAAAGGGUUGCGAUACUGUGAGGUGGAGCUAAUCCCAAAAAGCCGGUCUCAGUUCGGAUUGGGG
This 533-nucleotide ribosomal RNA is filed under the name uncultured bacterium. RNAcentral describes it as "bacterial SSU rRNA". It matches the Rfam family "Bacterial small subunit ribosomal RNA", at positions 772 to 1303 of the family's 1533-position model. The record is from RNAcentral.